RNAcentral lists this ribosomal RNA (113 nucleotides) under Escherichia coli M12. Lineage: Bacteria; Pseudomonadati; Pseudomonadota; Gammaproteobacteria; Enterobacterales; Enterobacteriaceae. The record is from RNAcentral.
GGCGGCAGUAGCGCGGUGGUCCCACCUGACCCCAUGCCGAACUCAGAAGUGAAACGCCGUAGCGCCGAUGGUAGUGUGGGGUCUCCCCAUGCGAGAGUAGGGAACUAUCUCCG